UGACGGCCCAGGACAGCUUGAGAAACAGAUGUAAAAAUUCCCGCGUCCAGCCCAAGAGUGGCCGUGGGCUCCUCCUGCCUCGCUCAGAGUCAGAAUCAAAUAAGGUGGUGAAGGUCCGAGCGGCCAUUUGACCUGCAGCUAUUCUGAAGAUCACAUAAGGAAGUUCUGGGAGCCAGAUCCACGGGACCUGGCAUGAAAUGGGAGGCGUUGUGCCUGCCUGGCAUACCGUACUUCUAAGAUGCAUUUCAAAGAUGAAGAAGCAUCUUUUGUGCUCUCUGACAGCCAAGGAUCCUUAAGAUUGAAAGUGAAGGAGUCAAGAGGGCAGACCCAUCUCAGAGAUCAAGUGAAAUAGACAAGUGAAGAAAUAUGGAGCCAGAACAGGGCUCCGGGUAUGGCUUGCUUUCCCACAGAUGAUGAUCGGGAGUUGAACACCCCCACACCCUCAGGUCAGUGCCAGCUUGUGGAAAGCUGGGCAGCGAGAGAAGCCUUCCAGCCUCUACCUUGGAUCCAUGCUUGGAAUCUGGAAGAAUCCUACUGGACACCUGGGAUGAUCUUUCAUGAAUCUCUCUCAUAAUUUUUGUCUUAUUUUCUUUAAUAUUUUAUACAUACAGAAAUAUGUGUAACAUAUGUGUUAGUUAUAAGCAUAAUUAAAAAAUGGAAAUCUGUAAGUCUACCAGCCCAUCCGAGGAUGAACGUGUCUCCAGGAACACUGCAUGAGCUUAGCGGUUUGCUCCACUUCUCCCGGAAGUAACCAAGAUCCUGGGUUUUGUGCUCCUCAUGAAUCCCCUUGCUAAGAUAAAACCAAAGCAAAACAAAACAAAAAUAUUAUAGUCUGUAUUUAGAUAUUUUGCUUUAAAAUUUGCCUCGUGGUUCUUGUCUUCCCUUUUAAGAGCUUUGUCAAAAUGGGAGUAUGUGUACAGCUUUUCAGAACUUGCAUUUCUUUACCUAACAUUGUGUUUCAAAGAUCUGCUGGUGUUGCGUGUGGCUGUAGUUUAUUCACUUACUGUUGCAUGACAUUCCUUCCUGGGAAUAUAUCACAAUACAUUGUAUUACCUGUC
This is a long non-coding RNA of Bos indicus x Bos taurus (hybrid cattle), 1058 nucleotides long. The record is from Ensembl. Lineage: Eukaryota; Metazoa; Chordata; Mammalia; Artiodactyla; Bovidae.